This 480-nucleotide ribosomal RNA is filed under the name uncultured bacterium. Its description in RNAcentral is "bacterial SSU rRNA". It matches the Rfam family "Bacterial small subunit ribosomal RNA", at positions 30 to 506 of the family's 1533-position model. The record is from RNAcentral.
UUGAACGCUGGCGGUAUGCUUUACACAUGCAAGUCGAACGGCAGCACGGGGCAACCUGGUGGCGAGUGGCGAACGGGUGAGUAACAUAUCGGAACAUGUCCGGAAGUGGGGGAUAGCUCGGCGAAAGCCGGAUUAAUACCGCAUAUGCCCCGAGGGGGAAAGGGGGGGAUCGCAAGACCUCUCGCUUUCGGAGUGGCCGAUAUCGGAUUAGCUAGUUGGUGGGGUAAAGGCCCACCAAGGCGACGAUCCGUAGCUGGUCUGAGAGGACGACCAGCCACACUGGAACUGAGACACGGUCCAGACUCCUACGGGAGGCAGCAGUGGGGAAUUUUGGACAAUGGGCGCAAGCCUGAUCCAGCCAUACCGCGUGAGUGAAGAAGGCCUUCGGGUUGUAAAGCUCUUUCAGCCGGAAAGAAAUCGUGCAAUCUAAUAAAUUGUAUGGAUGACGGUACCGGAAGAAGAAGCACCGGCUAACUACGU